RNAcentral lists this ribosomal RNA (248 nucleotides) under uncultured Christensenellaceae bacterium. RNAcentral's name for it is "partial 16S ribosomal RNA". It matches the Rfam family "Bacterial small subunit ribosomal RNA", at positions 524 to 771 of the family's 1533-position model. Lineage: Bacteria; Bacillati; Bacillota; Clostridia; Christensenellales; Christensenellaceae. The record is from RNAcentral.
UACGUAGGGAGCAAGCGUUGUCCGGAAUUACUGGGCGUAAAGGGUGCGUAGGCGGUUUGAUAAGUCAGAUGUGAAAUAUCCGGGCUUAACCCGGAGGGUGCAUUUGAAACUGUGAGACUUGAGUGCAGGAGAGGAAAGCGGAAUUCCUAGUGUAGCGGUGAAAUGCGUAGAUAUUAGGAGGAACACCAGUGGCGAAGGCGGCUUUCUGGACUGUAACUGACGCUGAGGCACGAAAGCGUGGGGAGCAA